CCUACGGGAGGCAGCAGUGAGGAAUAUUGGUCAAUGGACGAGAGUCUGAACCAGCCAAGUAGCGUGAAGGAUGACUGCCCUAUGGGUUGUAAACUUCUUUUAUAUGGGAAUAAAAUGUUCCACGUGUGGGAUUUUGUAUGUACCAUAUGAAUAAGGAACGGCUAACUCCGUGCCAGCAGCCGCGGUAAUACGGAGGAUCCGAGCGUUAUCCGGAUUUAGUGGGUUUAAAGGGAGCGUAGGUGGAUUGUUAAGUCAGUUGUGAAAGUUUGCGGCUCAACCGUAAAAGUGCAGUUGAAACUGGCAGUCUUGAGUACAGUAGAGGUGAGCGGAAUUCGUGGUGUAGCGGUGAAAUGCUUAGAUAUCACGAAGAACUCCGAUUGCGAAGGCAGCCUACUAAACUGCCACUGACAUUGAUGCUCGAAAGUGUGGGUAUCAAACAGGAUUAGAUACCCUAGUAGUC
RNAcentral lists this ribosomal RNA (460 nucleotides) under uncultured bacterium. RNAcentral describes it as "partial 16S ribosomal RNA". It matches the Rfam family "Bacterial small subunit ribosomal RNA", at positions 338 to 795 of the family's 1533-position model. The record is from RNAcentral.